UACGUAGGGGGCAAGCGUUGUCCGGAUUUAUUGGGCGUAAGGAGCGUGUAGGCGGCUUUACAGGUCCGUUGUGAAAACUCGAGGCUCAACCUCGAGACGCCGGUGGAAACCGUAAAGCUAGAGUCCGGAAGAGGAGAGUGGAAUUCCUGGUGUAGCGGUGAAAUGCGCAGAUAUCAGGAAGAACACCCGUGGCGAAGGCGGCUCUCUGGAACGCAACUGACGCUGAGACGCGAAAGCGUGGGGAGCAAACAGG
Molecule: ribosomal RNA, 253 nt
Filed under: uncultured bacterium
Lineage: Bacteria
Description: partial 16S ribosomal RNA
Rfam family: Bacterial small subunit ribosomal RNA
Source: RNAcentral